GACAUGCGAGUCGAGCGUCUCUAGCUAUGUUGAGACGCGGCAUACGGCUCAGUAACGCGUGGCUAACCUACCCUCAGGACGGAGACAACCCCGGGAAACUGGGACUAAUAUCCGAUAGGCGAGGAGGCCUGGAAUGGUUUCUCACCUAAAAGACUUUGGAAACAUGCUUUCAUUGUUGCCUGAGGAUGGGGCCGCGCCCGAUCAGGUUGUUGGUGAGGUAAUGGCUCACCAAGCCUAUAACCGGUACGGGCCGUGAGAGCGGUAGCCCGGAGAUGGGUACUGAGACAAGGACCCAGGCCCUACGGGGCGCAGCAGUCGCGAAAACUCCGCAAUGCACGAAAGUGUGACGGGGCUACCCCGAGUGCUCUCCGCUGAGGAAAGCUUUUCCCUGGUAUAACUAGCCAGGGGAAUAAGGAGAGGGCAAGACUGGUGUCAGCCGCCGCGGUAAUACCAGCUCUCCGAGUGGUAGGGAUGAUUAUUGGGCUUAAAGCGUCCGUAGCCGGCUUAGCAAGUCUCCUGUUAAACUCAGCGACUUAAUCGUUGAAUCGCGGGAGAUACUAUUAGGCUAGGAGGCGGGAGAGGUCGACGGUACUUCUGGGGUAGGGGUGAAAUCCUAUAAUCCCGGGAGGACCACCAGUGGCGAAGGCUGUCGACUAGAACGCGCUCGACGGUGAGGGACGAAAGCUGGGGGAGCGAACCGGAUUAGAUACCCGGGUAGUCCCAGCUGUAAACGAUGCGGGCUAGGUGUUGGAAUGGCUACGUGCCAUUUCAGUGCCGCAGGGAAGCCAUUAAGCCCGCCGCCUGGGGAGUACGGCCGCAAGGCUGAAACUUAAAGGAAUUGGCGGGGGAGCACCACAAGGCGUGAAGCUUGCGGUUCAAUUGGAUUCAACGCCGGGA
Molecule: ribosomal RNA, 897 nt
Filed under: uncultured archaeon
Lineage: Archaea
Description: bacterial SSU rRNA
Rfam family: Archaeal small subunit ribosomal RNA
Source: RNAcentral